CAGCUCUGAUGAUGUGCUCUUGUGUUGAAUUAACCUCCUCUGAGCUGCGAAGGCCCUCGCAUGGGCACCCCUCCAUGCAAUGAACACGAGUCUAAGGGAGCAAUCCAAACUCGGAGGCACCCUAUUGGGAUACUUAUGCGAUAAAAUAGUCUGUUUCAUACGAGUAGGGAUACCUUAAAGGCAGCGAUCCCAUGUCGUGCAGUGGCGAUCAUUCAAGCGAUGAAGUCAUACGACAUUUUCGCCCUCUCUAUCCAAAAGCAGCGGGAGAAACAUUACAUCCAAAUUGAAGAAGGAACUUUGUUCUUUCUUCUCUCUAUCUCUUGAUUGUAUAUUGUUACUGUUAAGCACCGCAAUGGACAACCAAUAAUUCUUAAUCCUGCAGCCCAGGGUUGUUGAAUAUUGCGAAGCAACC
RNAcentral lists this small RNA (412 nucleotides) under Histoplasma ohiense. Its description in RNAcentral is "hypothetical lncRNA". The record is from RNAcentral. Lineage: Eukaryota; Fungi; Ascomycota; Eurotiomycetes; Onygenales; Ajellomycetaceae.